This 414-nucleotide ribosomal RNA is filed under the name uncultured Gammaproteobacteria bacterium. Its description in RNAcentral is "bacterial SSU rRNA". It matches the Rfam family "Bacterial small subunit ribosomal RNA", at positions 9 to 419 of the family's 1533-position model. Lineage: Bacteria; Pseudomonadati; Pseudomonadota; Gammaproteobacteria. The record is from RNAcentral.
GAGUUUGAUCUUGGCUCAGAGUGAACGCUGGCGGUAGGCCUAACACAUGCAAGUCGAACGGCAGCACAGAGGAGCUUGCUCCUUGGGUGGCGAGUGGCGGACGGGUGAGGAAUACAUCGGAAUCUACCCUGUCGUGGGGGAUAACGUAGGGAAACUUACGCUAAUACCGCAUACGACCUUCGGGUGAAAGUAGGGGAUCGCAAGACCUUACGCGAUUGGAUGAGCCGAUGUCGGAUUAGCUUGUUGGCGGGGUAAAAGCCCACCAAGGCGACGAUCCGUAGCUGGUCUGAGAGGAUGAUCAGCCACACUGGAACUGAGACACGGUCCAGACUCCUACGGGAGGCAGCAGUGGGGAAUAUUGGACAAUGGGCGCAAGCCUGAUCCAGCCAUACCGCGUGGGUGAAGAAGGCCUUC